UGUAAAUAUAUAUAUAUAUAUAUAUAUAUAUAUAUACAGACUCCAAGUUUCUGACUUUACAAACUCUCCACAUCUGAAAGUUAUGUUUCCCACAAACAACUGCUCUUCUGAAAGAUCUCAGUGUUAACAACUGAUGGAUUUCACACAAAUUUCUCAUUUAUCUUUCAAUUUAUUCAAUAAUUUCCUUUCAUUUUCAUGUAAGUGUCAUUCAUAUAUAAUUGCAAUUUCUAAUUAGUAUUUUAUACCGUCAUUUGUUAUACAAUUAAUCAUUUUAGUUUUCUUUCUUUCUUUCUGAAUUGAUAAUUGCAUUUUCAUGGAAAUGGUUUUUAUUUAACCAUUUAUUACAAAGAAAACAAACAAAACAAAAACAUUUUAUAAAAAAUGAGAAAGCUUUUAAUUUUUCCACACUUCACUCUACUGUUUUAUAUGCUUGCGAAAAAGUUUUUGAAAAAAAUGGAUUUAAUAAUAAAAUAUUUUAUUUAA
This 483-nucleotide long non-coding RNA is filed under the name Octopus sinensis (East Asian common octopus). Its description in RNAcentral is "uncharacterized LOC118767719, transcript variant X2". Lineage: Eukaryota; Metazoa; Mollusca; Cephalopoda; Octopoda; Octopodidae. The record is from RNAcentral.